UAUUUAUAUAGCUUAAAAAGAGUUUAAUAUUGAAGAUAUUAAGGUAAUCAAUUGAUUUAUAAAUAA
Molecule: transfer RNA, 66 nt
Filed under: Mastax latefasciata
Lineage: Eukaryota; Metazoa; Arthropoda; Insecta; Coleoptera; Carabidae
Description: tRNA-Phe
Source: RNAcentral